Styela clava is the source of this 844-nucleotide non-coding RNA. Lineage: Eukaryota; Metazoa; Chordata; Ascidiacea; Stolidobranchia; Styelidae. The record is from RefSeq and is a predicted model, not a curated record.
UCAUUGUUUUGUUUUAGUGACAGUUUUUUUCUCUCAUUGAACCUACAUCGGGCACAAAGUCACGACAAUAAAAGAAGAAUGGUUUGUGAAGAAUUAGAUGAUGUGUUUGGAAAUGUGAAUCAACAGAGACCUGUUGUUAGAUCUCAAAUUAUCAGACCUCCGGGUAAGAGAGGACCACCUGGAAUGGAGCGGGAGAAAGAAGAUGUUGGCAGUAAAGGUCAAAAGGGACUACCAGGACCAUUAGGAAUAAAAGGUUCUAUAGGCGCUCCUGGUGUAGCUGACAAAGAUGAACUCAGAAAAAUACAAAGUGAAUCGCCGACGUUGAUAUUCUAGCAAAGAGUUCUAGCAGAAAGCUAAAAGAUUUAGAAGACAAAAAGAAUUUUGUUAUCUGACGGAAGAAGUGCUCCAUACGCACACUGGCACCCAGAUAGACCAUUCAAUCAUACAAGAGCUUACAUUUUCAUCAACGUUAAGUCGGAUCCGAGUAGCAUAAAUCAAGGGAUGCUGGAUGGAACUCAUACUUUCAAGGAAUCUGGAGUUUUGUGUGAAAUGUGAAUUGUUCCAAAAUGAAAAAAAAAAAACAGUGAAAACCCGUCAAAAAAUACCAAAAACCUUUCAAAAACGUACAAAACCCAUGAAAACUCAAACAGCCUUGCAAAAACAGUGGAAACCGUGAAAAAAGUCGGAUUCGUAGGGCUUUAGAUAUCGAACACACUAGAUUUAUAAUUGCACGAAUUCAAGUUGCAAUAUGGUUUAUUUUAAUCUGGGAUAAUUCCAAUAAUUUAAUUAAAAAGACUAUAAAAUCUACCGUCAUUUUAUUGUUAUUUGCAAGUAAUCAGUAGUA